Aedes aegypti (yellow fever mosquito) is the source of this 2682-nucleotide long non-coding RNA. RefSeq lists it as uncharacterized. The transcript has 2 exons. NCBI's taxonomy places the organism in Eukaryota, Metazoa, Arthropoda, Insecta, Diptera, Culicidae. The record is from RefSeq and is a predicted model, not a curated record.
AAGUAAGCUUUGUCCCAGUGAGGACGUUAUGUCAAGAAGAAAAAGAAAAAGAAGUCAGUCAAAAUACGCUUUGAGUUUGGCCAAGCAUUGUCCAGAACUGCAAAAAUAUUUCAUUAAAUUCAUCCAAUUCACAAUUUUCUCUAAGAAACUCGGCAAUAAACUGCAGACAUUUGGAUGCCUUCCAUUCUAGAUCUGUUGAAUUUGAAAUUGAGAAGAACUUUGGCCUUAAGAACAAAGAAAAUCUGGCUCUUUAUUAUGGGGAAAUUUAGCCCGAGGCUGGUUCAAAGAAUGCUUUUAUUUAUUAUUUUACGGUUUUCUAAAGAUUAUCUCGUUGUUCAAUUUUACCAAGAUUUAAAUCAAGAUUUUGUUCGAGGAAACAUCCAAAAUUCAUUCCAGUGAAAUAUUUAGUCCAGCAGAAAUGCUUUAAUAAAUUUUGAACGAAUUUAUUCAGUAAUUGGCUCCGUAGAAUCAUCGAGGGCUUUUUUAGGACAUUAUUGGAGAAAUCCCUAAAAAAUCCGAAAAGUAUCGCUACAACAAUUCCUAUAGUAAUCUCUGAUAAAACUUCUGUAGAAAUUCCUGUUGAACUCUUACGAACAUCUUUGAAAAGUUCCCUAUCUUCAGAAGAAGUUUUAUAGGUUUUUCAAGAUGAAUUGCUAAGGGACCGUCUAUAAAUGACGUAGCAUUUUUUGUCGAAAUUUUUACACCCCCCUCCCCCAUCGUAGCCUGUUUUCUCAUACCUAACACAUGGUUCGUCUCAAAAUCAUAGACUCCCCCUAACCUUAAAAUGCUUUGUCAUUUAUAGCCGAUCUCUAAGAUAAUUAUUUAUAAAAACAAUCAAUUGAAUCGCUGGAUAAAAUCCUACAAAACUUUCUGGAGGCAUGCCCUAAAAUACAUAGAAUAGAAUCUCUUAAAAAACUUGUGUAGAAAUGGACGAAAUAGCUGCAGUAGUAUUUGUUGGUGAGAAACCUUAAAUGAAAUAUUGUAGAAUCUACACACCAAAUUUUCCAUCCAGGUUUCAGCAAUAUGCAUUGCUGAAACAAUUUCAGCAACACCUUGUUUUACUGAUAUCCAGCAUUUUUGAAAAUGUUUGCUGGAAUUCAGCUAUAUAACUUGCUGAAUACUUGUCAACACUUGAUUUUUUGCUGGAAUUCAGUAAAUAGUUUGACAGCUUUGAAAAUUUGCCGUAAAUCAGUUAAAUUGAAUACUAAACUCACAUCACCAAUCAUGUUUUUUGCUGAAAACCAGCAAACAUUUCAAUCUGUCAUACAAUAAUCUUCAAACAAAUAAAGUUCGUACUCAAAUCUUGCUGGUUUUGAUAAGUGAAAAAUCCAAAAGUUUUUGAACUUUUUAGAGUUGCGGAUGGAAAUCUCACUAAGCUAUAUUUCGUAAGUAAAGAUUGAAGAACUUCUUAUUUAUAACAUCAUAAACUUUUGAUGCAUUCCAGGACCCCGACGGAACCGAAAUGGCACAAGAUAAUAUGGCUCUGUCUCUUUCUUCAAAGCAGAGCAUAAACUGCAAGAUUGUUCAUCCCAACUCCAACAAUUUUAAAAAAGUUAUAUUUUAAUAUUUCUCAAACUUGUCAUUGUAAAUAUCUUGAACAUCAUCUAUUUUUUUUUUUCGAAAAAGGAUCCGAAAAGCAAGCUAAGACAUUUGUAAACAAGCAACUACUGGACAUGCACAAAAUGAAAUGCAAUUUGCUGGAUGUUCAGCAUAAUAGCUGUCACGUUCACUGGAAUGCUUUUUGCUGGAUGAUCAGCAAAAAUUGGUUUUGCUGGAUGGAUUGCUGAAUUUACAGCACAAAAAAAGUCAGCAAAACUUUGCUGGUUUACAGCAAUAAAGAUUUGGUGUGUAGGUUCGAAAAUGCACUCGACAUGUGUUAUCAUUAAGGUACAAGAAAAAAUGGCACAAAUCCUAAAGAUUUGUCCGUCACUGUACGGUCCCACAGGCCAUCCACAUAGGAACCGACGCGACUACGUGUAUAGGUAUGCUGCAAUGCAAGCACGACAAAAAAAACUUCCACGUAUACAGCGAGAUUAUCGUGAUUCAAAAUAAGCUACAAUUUCAUGUCUGGAACAAACUAAGGAGUGCUGAACAGCAAAGAAACCUAAUUAUACCAGAUAAGACAGACAAAUGGGCCAACGUAUUGUGAUUUGGCAAACCGGGGUGAUGUGUUGGCGUUUUAUGCACCGCCAAAUUAAACCACAUUGCACUUGAUACCUCAGUAUAACUCACUUCCACUUGAUUCUCUCUACAUUCAAACCGUUUAACUGUUCUUAUAUCGAUAUGUCUCUAUCGAUAGCUUUGUUGAAUAAUCUAGCAGGCCAAGCCGAGUCACACAUCAUUUCUUAUUCGUUCCGAAUCGUGGCAACUCUUCAAAGUCCAGACCACAGAAAAAGAAAAAUCCGACCCGGAAUAGAUUCCAGCCGCACGAUUUCCAAGAUGGAGAAGCGAAUCGAUAGUCAAUACAGAAGAGAAAAAGAUGUACUCACAGAACUCAACCAGGACGAAUUCGUUGCCUUCGACCACCGACUGGAAGUUAUCCUUGGUCAGCACCAGGACGCCAUCCUCUUCCUUCACUUCGGCAUCCGAGGCCACCAGAGCCAAUCCGGCGACCAAAAGCACCAAACUUAACGACUUUAGAACUCGCAUAUUGUAAUCCGGACUAUAUGUUUCCUUAGCCUA